AACAAAAGAUAUGAAAAAGAGUGAAUAAUUUCUUAAUAUACGGACGGUUAUUUCCAUACAAAGCGAGUGGCUUUGGUUGCUAUUAAUUAAGCUCGUUUUCUCAGAUUUCUAAUACUGUUGUUGGAAAUUUAGGUCUUAAUUAAAAACAGAUUUCAUAAUACAUGUUCAACAAUUAUGAAUCAAUAGCGGAAGCAAACAAAAUAUUGAACAUGAUUAUGAUCGGAUCUACGACAUAUUUGAUUUAUCAAGGAUAUUAAGAAUUAGGGUAUUAGGAAUAUCUGGAUAAAGCUUUUGUAGCAGCCCUCUCAUCAACAACGAUAAUCAAAGAGAGAAGAUGAUCUGAGUAUUGCCGUGUACGGUAUAUUCGGGACCAUAGCCUCUUUUAUAUAUGGCCAUUAGGGUUUCCUAUUAUUCCGUUAAUGGAUCAUCCAGACAUCCACUCAUUGAAGUCCAUAUCAACUAAUUAAAUAUUUAAUUAAUUAUCCAAUUAAAAAUCUAAUAGCUAAUAUAAUUAUUAUUACGAUAUUUAUCCCUGAUAUUGGAAUAUAAUAAAAUAUUUCAACAACUGUUCCCUCCUCUCAUUUUCUCAGAUUUCUCUCUCUUUUUUAUAGAUCAUGGCAAGCUCCAGCCCUGCCGCAGUCAACGGAAG
RNAcentral lists this long non-coding RNA (649 nucleotides) under Medicago truncatula (barrel medic). RNAcentral's name for it is "long non-coding RNA (MTRU_LNC005634)". The record is from RNAcentral. Lineage: Eukaryota; Viridiplantae; Streptophyta; Magnoliopsida; Fabales; Fabaceae.